CUUCAAUCCUAGCGAUUACUAACUAGCUAUAUGUCCUUGUGCCCUUCAUUUUUGUCUGGUUCUCUGUUUCCUUUCCUGUUCAAUAAAAUAAUAGGUCUACAUGGCUUCUAAAAUCUUUUCAGCUCUGACACUUGAGGAGUCUAUAAAGGAGAUCGUAUAUCAACAGGAAGGGAGGGAAAGGGAUGUGCCACCACACGCGCAGCUGCCAAGGAUCCUGCACAUGUGGUAUUAUUGUGGCGGAAUCUCCCCCUUGUCUGCCCAGAUGCAAAAAUGUUAUUGGAGUGAGAGACUGGGAAACUUGCCUGGUAUGAAAUCCUAGUACCCCAACUUCCUGGUUUUGGCAAUUUAGAGUCUUGGGAAUCAGUCCCAGCCCCUAUAAAAGAAGGCAGACCCUGUAAACAUGCCCUCCAAGAACCUCCAAUGUAGUUCUGGCAGCUUUCAAAUUCUAAGGUCCUCAAUCCUCCAUUCUAAGGCCACCCUCGGGUUUCACCUCAUUCCCCUAUACUGGUCAGCAGCCAAAUUCUGCAGCCUCUUUAACUUAAGAUCCCAGCCAAAAAGCCUGACUGCCCUCCUACUUGUGAACAAAUCCCAAUUCUCAAAGCAACUCCAGCCCCCCCCAACAGACUCCCCUCUGGUCUGAGGGGAGUAUCUGGGAGUAUCUCCCAGAUACUCAAACUCACUUCAGCCCUGUAGCACUCAAGCCUCAGGGAUUUGGGCUGGCUGGUAGGUGACACUUCUCUGUUUAAGAUAGUCCCAUCUGCAGAGCUAGGAUCAGCCCCUAAAUUGAUAAGCACAGGGUGGGAAAGCAACCUGCCUUAGUGAGAUUACCCAGACUCUAAAGUAAGGUCCCGCAGCUCCACCUCAUACCUCCACAGACACACACUCUUCGGCUUUUAAGUUAUGAAACAGGCCUGUUGCUAUUCUAAGGAAGUCUCACAAGUCACCUUAUAAACAUGCCGCUUCAGGCAGCUUCCUGUGGUUUGCCAAAGGCCAGCUGGGAAGGCAGCCAGACUCCCGCCAUGGUCCUGGAACCCCCUCCUCUAGCAGACAUUCACUCAGGGCAUGACCUCCUGAGGUGCCCACUUGGGAUGCAGGAACUUAGUGGCUGCGAGAGUUGCUAUUUUUCCCUCCAGCCCCAGCCUGGGCUGGGCUGAAUGAUGUGGCUGGCUGGUACAAAGGCUGCUUUUUAUAAUGUUCUUCUUUGGUAUUUUUGGUGUCUGGAGAGGGUUUCCUUUCCUCCCACAGUUAAUUAGCAGCAUCAAGCAUUUUCCUUUCUCCAACAGAAGUCUGUUCCCACCCCUGAGGCCAGGCAGAGGGGGUGGCAGGUGUGGCUAAAUGCCCCCUGAGGUUAACCUCAAACUUAAACUUAGAGCCCCACUUGGUUAGAAGUGAAGUGAAAUGCAGGGCUAGCUUCCAUUCUGGGCAGAGUCGGCAAGCGGGCACACGUCCCUGGCAGGCUAGCAUCCCAAUCAGGGAGCCAGGAAGCAUUUUCUGGGCUAGAUAUCAGGACAAACCCAUGAACUGUGAGAGGUCCUCUUUGCUGAGAGCUCCAUCUGAUCCCAGGAAAUAGAGUGCUGGUUCCAUGUGCUAGAAGACAAAACUUCCUGCCAGAAAGAGGAUCUGCGUCUCAUCUCCAUGUGCGCCAGCGUUCAGAUACGGCUGUCUGGGCUUUCAUGGAUGAGUCAUGCAAUGGCCAAGCCUCAGCUGCAAGUUGGGGCAUAAAAGGAGCUUCAAAAAAAUAAGCAGGCUUGGCCGGGCAUGGUGGCUCACACCUGUAAUCCCAACAUGAUGGGAGGCUGAGAUAGCCAGAAAAGUGAAUUUUGAAUGUUCCCAACAUGAAGAAAUGAGAAACGUCUGAGGUGAUGGCUAUGCUAACUAUCCUGACCUGAUCAUUACACAUUGUAUACAUGUAUCAAAAUAUCACCCUGUACUUCAUAAACAUGUACAAUUAUUAUAUGUCAAUUAAGAAUAAUAAAAUAAAAAGAAGAAAUGGCUUUUGACUCUGCUUGCUCUCUGUCCUUACUGCCACUGCCCUUCUUUAGACCUCCAUCAGUCAUCUCUUGCCAGGACUACUCUAAAAGCCCUGUAAGUCCUCGGGCAUCUAAUUUGACGCUUUCUAAUCCUCUCCUCUGCUGCUAGUGUGCUUUCUUUAAAACUGAUCAUGUUAAUUCUCUUCUCUGAAAUCUUUGAUGGACUGUUGCCUACAAACUACAAACCACACGCCUAAGCAUAGCCUCUGAUACCCUUAACAAUUUAGCCAUUACUUACCUUCUAGGACUCAAUAAAUAUUCGAUGAAAAAGUGAAUGCUCUCCUGCUAGAAAUCCUGUUAACAAUGUUCCCUACACUUCUUAUUUAACAGUC
Macaca mulatta (Rhesus monkey) is the source of this 2362-nucleotide non-coding RNA. NCBI's taxonomy places the organism in Eukaryota, Metazoa, Chordata, Mammalia, Primates, Cercopithecidae. The record is from RefSeq and is a predicted model, not a curated record.